UACAGAGGGUGCGAGCGUUGUUCGGAAUUAUUGGGCGUAAAGGGCGCGUAGGCGGUUCGCUGAGUUGGAUGUGAAAACUCUGGGCUCAACCCAGAGCCUGCAUCCAAAACUGGCGGGCUAGAGUUCUGGAGGGGGUAGCGGAAUUCCUGGUGUAGCGGUGAAAUGCGUAGAUAUCAGGAGGAACACCGGUGGCGAAGGCGGCUACCUGGACAGAAACUGACGCUGAGGCGCGAAAGCUAGGGGAGCAAACAGG
Molecule: ribosomal RNA, 253 nt
Filed under: uncultured bacterium
Lineage: Bacteria
Description: partial 16S ribosomal RNA
Rfam family: Bacterial small subunit ribosomal RNA
Source: RNAcentral